CUUCCAGUUCCAUUUUCUUAUACUCAUCCUCAAGAAAGAUAUGUGCAAACAGGACAGACAAAAGCAAGAUGCAGUCUUCUCUUUGGGCAUAAGUAAGCAAAUUUUAUUGCCCAGAGAGUUUCCAAACUAGGGGUGAAAGAAUUGUCAAGAACCAAUCUCAGACUCUGUAGGAUGCUAAAACCUGAGUGCACUCUGCCAGCUGGGCUCAAACAGAGUGAUCUGAAGGCUCGUGCAGCAGCUGCCCCGUGGGUCACCCCAGAGGAGGCUGAGCAGGAGCCACACAAGGCUGCUCCCUUGCCUGGGCCCUUCAUGACUUGCCAGCCCAUGGCCACCCAUUUCCCCAUGGUGGUGACUGGGUGCCUGGCUUCUCUGUGCUCCCUGGGGAUGAGCAGGGACCCCUACCCUAGGGAAAGGGAGAGGAGACUUAGGGAACCAUUUUGGUGAAAAUAAAACCCCUCUUUGUUUCUAAAUUUGAAGGGAAAAUAUGUUACUUUAUCCUCUUCUUUGAGGUGAACCGAUUGAACUGCUGAGUGGUCUUGAGCUGUCUCUUAUCACAUGCCUCUCCCUGCUGGCUGUUUUGCCUCUUCCUUCAAGAUCAGGAACCAAGUUGCUUCUCCAAAACACUUCUGUCUGUUAGUGAUAGUCCCAUAUGUAUUCACACCUGAAGAUUUCAGUGUUUUCUGAAGACUGCAAUGCAUACCAACAUGAUAUUUACAGCUGCUUGAGACUCUCCACUGGCUGUGGGCAGAAGCAGAGGUUGCAGGACUUCCUCCAUCAAAAUGCUAAUGGGCCAGCAUCAGAGCUGGGACUCCAGGGAAAGAACUGGGCUGUUCAUCUGUGCACCUCCAUCCAUAAUAUCACACAGGAGGCAAUGUCAGCUGGAAGCUAAAAAAUGAAGAGAAAGUCUGCUCUGUUUUCUCAGGAUAACACAGAAGUUGAACUUCAUUGCUCACACCUUGCCUGUUCUCACAGGGGAAGCAAAGGCUUUACAGUGAUCCAGAUACAAGAGGAAAUGCUGAACAGCAAAAUGCAGACAUUUGUGACAUAAAGUUAGAAAAAGUGACCUACAGGUAGAUGUGCUGAACCCUUACACCUUUUACAUGCAAUGUUCACCCCCAAGACAGAUGAUGUCAAUCAAGUCCUGUGCUGUUAUAUGCUUACAGAAAGGUGAGCGCAGGAAAAACAUUUGAAUUUAGAGAAAAAAAUACAUAAAUCAAGAUGGGAAAUAAAGUCCAAUUUGGUGAUGAGGGCUUGCCAGAUUAAGUUCCUACAAAACAAGAAGCAGCAACACCUGCAUUCAGAGUCACAGUGAAAGAGUGGCUUCCUGGGCUAAUAUGAAAUCUUCAGGAGCUCAAUAACCAUGGAAACCUCAGUGAAAGGAAUGCAACUUCAAUAAAAUUCAGAAAAGAGAAGAAGAAAUGGUAAUUGGAGAACUGUCAGAGGCAAAAGUACAUGUAUUUCCUUCCCCAGAGAUUCUUGUAAUACAAACAGGUUUUAUUUUUAAACAAAAAUAUUCUUACUGGCAUCUAUAGGAAACUAUUUGGUGCAAAGGCUUUGUAAUAUCUUUUCUACAGUUGUCACUUAUCUGCAUUUAUGAAGGCCUUGGUUUUAGAAACUUUUGGACAAAUUAACUCUCAGUUUUCACUUAUAAGUAAUAAGAAAUAAUCUGUCAUCCUCACUUCUCUCAAUAGCUUCAAAACCAAUAAAAGCCAACUAAAAUAA
Zonotrichia albicollis (white-throated sparrow) is the source of this 1722-nucleotide non-coding RNA. NCBI's taxonomy places the organism in Eukaryota, Metazoa, Chordata, Aves, Passeriformes, Passerellidae. The record is from RefSeq and is a predicted model, not a curated record.